Molecule: ribosomal RNA, 443 nt
Filed under: uncultured bacterium
Lineage: Bacteria
Description: bacterial SSU rRNA
Rfam family: Bacterial small subunit ribosomal RNA
Source: RNAcentral
GUGAUUAAGUGGAGUGAGGACUUCGGUCUGAGUGAAACUUAUGAAAGCGGCGGACGGGUGAGUAACGCGUGGGCAACCUGCCUCAUACAAAGGGAUAGCCACUGGAAACGGUGAUUAAUACCUUAUAAGUCGGUAGGAUCGCAUGAUGUAGCCGACAAAGAUUUAUCGGUAUGAGAUGGGCCCGCGUCUGAUUAGCUAGUUGGUAAGGUAACGGCUUACCAAGGCGACGAUCAGUAGCCGACCUGAGAGGGUGAUCGGCCACACUGGAACUGAGACACGGUCCAGACUCCUACGGGAGGCAGCAGUGGGGAAUAUUGCACAAUGGGCGCAAGCCUGAUGCAGCAACGCCGCGUGAGUGAUGAAGGCCUUCGGGUUGUAAAACUCUGUCCUAUGGGAAGAAACAAAUGAAGGUACCAUGGGAGGAAGCCCCGGCUAACUACGUG